This 336-nucleotide ribosomal RNA is filed under the name Clostridioides difficile. RNAcentral's name for it is "bacterial SSU rRNA". It matches the Rfam family "Bacterial small subunit ribosomal RNA", at positions 62 to 407 of the family's 1533-position model. The record is from RNAcentral. Lineage: Bacteria; Bacillati; Bacillota; Clostridia; Peptostreptococcales; Peptostreptococcaceae.
UUGAGCGAUUUACUUCGGUAAAGAGCGGCGGACGGGUGAGUAACGCGUGGGUAACCUACCCUGUACACACGGAUAACAUACCGAAAGGUAUGCUAAUACGGGAUAAUAUAUUUGAGAGGCAUCUCUUAAAUAUCAAAGGUGAGCCAGUACAGGAUGGACCCGCGUCUGAUUAGCUAGUUGGUAAGGUAACGGCUUACCAAGGCGACGAGCAGUAGCCGACCUGAGAGGGUGAUCGGCCACAUUGGAACUGAGACACGGUCCAAACUCCUACGGGAGGCAGCAGUGGGGAAUAUUGCACAAUGGGCGAAAGCCUGAUGCAGCAACGCCGCGUGAGUG